AUGUUUUGCCUUUUCUUUUGCUCAUUGUUCCCUAAAGCCACAUAUUUGUUUUAUGAUUUUCCACCUUCACAUGCCAUUUCUUCUUAUUCUCCCCAGAUGCCUCAUUGCUAUGUCUCUCCCUUUUUUCUCCAGCAUCUUACUUGCUGUUGGAAGUCUGGCUUGACCCAAUGUGAGGCCCUCUUCUCCAUUCCAGAUCCAGGACACCAUUCCCUGAAGGAGCCAUCAGGGGCCUGUGGGAUAGAGGCCAUUGCCGGGGAUGCCCUGAUAGAGGUCCUUCAACAAAUAACAAGUAAGAGGCUGCAGUUUCUGCAACGAGAGAUGAUGGGGCUGAAAUGUCAGCAGGACAGACCAGGAUGGAAGAUCAAUCACGGAGCGACCCUAUUUCCAUCUCUAUUCUGGGACCAUGUGGAAUCAGAGAUAAAUUAGACCACAUCUUUGUCCUAGGAGUUCACAGUCAAGCUGAGGCGGACAGACUGACAAAUUGAUAAAUGCUUCAACAUUGUGAUGUGGUGACAUACAGGGUCAGUAGGUGCCUGAACUUCACCAUGGAGCUGUGAGUGCUCUUGACUCAGGACUUGAAGAAGCUGAAGGAGGAAAUCCAGCAGAGGCUAGAUACUUCGUACCAGCAGGCCCUGGUUCUGCUCUACCCCAGCAAGAAUCACUGGCAUCCUCUCAGGGCUUCAAACCUAAGACAUGAUCUUGAUUUCAGCUUUCACUAGGGUUCUGCCCUGAAACCAUCACAAACCUGGGAACCUAUGGCUCCGGCGGUACAUUUCCAUUUAUCCACUGCCCUUUGGGUUUGAAUGUCAGACAGAGGGUUUAGAAGAUGUCAACUCAAAACACAGCCAUAAACUUGGUCUGACAAUCAACUAAAGGAUGAAUCCAGGAAUCCAGGAGGAUGGUUUAUUUAUUUUUGGCCCCCUUUAUGGCCCAUGGAUUUGGAGAGAAGAACACAUCCCAUGGGUUCAGGGGUGCUUCUGGGGGAUUCUUUUAUAGAAAAAAGGUGGAUGGGACCAUUACCCUUCUUUUGUUGUGUGUCCCUCAUUCUGGGCAUCCCUGAAUGGAUCCCCUGGCGGAUGUUCCUGUCUACCCGGAAACUCAGAAUGUGGCCCUUUUUUGAAAGAGGGUCUCUGCAGGUGUCAUUAGGAUAAGAAUCCAGAUGAAUUCAGCCGGAUUCAGGUAGGUUGUAAAUCUGAGGGGGCUCUUAGAAGGGACAGAGAAGGACACACAGAGACAGAGAGAGAGAAGCUGGCCAUGUGAAGGCUGAGGCAGAGAUUGAGAUGACAAAGCCAGAAGCUGGCAUUGCUAGAAGAUGCAAAGAAGCUUUCUCCUCCAAGGCCCCCAGAGGCAGCAUGGCCCUGCUUGACAUCGUGGCUUGGAUUUCUGACUUCUACAACUGUGAGGGGAAAAACGUCUGUUGUUGCAGGCCUCCAAAUUUGUGGUACUUUAUUAUGGCAGCCUGAGGAAACGAAUACAUACUGGAAAACUCACUUUAUAUCAGGAACUGAAAAUGCAAACCUCUCAGGUAACAAAAAUGAAUGACCGAGGAGAAGACUGAGGCAAACUGUAGAAGCUAUGCUUUAUGUAAAGAUAACCAGGUGUUGCCUGGCAAGGACACAGAAACACAUUUGCCAGAUCUUUCAGAGUUCAAGAGAAGCUGGAAAUCCUGGAAUUCCCAUCGCGGUGCAGUGGUUAAUGAAUCCGACUAGGAACCAUGAGGUUGUGGGUUUGAUCCCUGGCCUUGCUCAGUGGGUUAAGGAUCUGGCCUUGUCGUGAGCUGUGGUGUAGGUCGCAGAUGCAG
Molecule: long non-coding RNA, 1801 nt
Filed under: Sus scrofa (pig)
Lineage: Eukaryota; Metazoa; Chordata; Mammalia; Artiodactyla; Suidae
Description: lncRNA (ENSSSCG00025046873.1)
Source: RNAcentral